RNAcentral lists this transfer RNA (73 nucleotides) under Fischerella thermalis CCMEE 5319. Its description in RNAcentral is "tRNA-Gln". It matches the Rfam family "tRNA". Rfam says of the family: Transfer RNA (tRNA) molecules are approximately 80 nucleotides in length. Their secondary structure includes four short double-helical elements and three loops (D, anti-codon, and T loops). RNAcentral also lists the same sequence under 3 other names. Lineage: Bacteria; Bacillati; Cyanobacteriota; Cyanophyceae; Nostocales; Hapalosiphonaceae. The record is from RNAcentral.
GUUUGAUUAGCUCAGUGGUGGAGCAUCCGAGUUGAUCGGUUGACGUAGGUUCAAAUCUUAACAUCAAACUCCC